ACGCACGCUGGCGGCGUGCUUAACACCUGCAAGUCGAACGGAAAGGCCCUGCUUUUGUGGGGUGCUCGAGUGGCGAACGGGUGAGUAACACGUGAGUAACCUGCCCUUGACUUUGGGAUAACUUCAGGAAACUGGGGCUAAUACCGGAUAGGAGCUCCUGCUGCCUGGUGGGGGUUGGAAAGUUUCGGCGGUUGGGGAUGGACUCGCGGCUUAUCAGCUUGUUGGUGGGGUAGUGGCUUACCAAGGCUUUGACGGGUAGCCGGCCUGAGAGGGUGACCGGCCACAUUGGGACUGAGAUACGGCCCAGACGCCUACGGGAGGCAGCAGUGGGGAAUAUUGCACAAUGGGCGGAAGCCUGAUGCAGCAACGCCGCGUGCGGGAUGACGGCCUUCGGGUUGUAAACCGCUUUCGCCUGUGACGAAGCGUGAGUGACGGUAAUGGGUAAAGAAGCACCGGCUAACUACGUG
RNAcentral lists this ribosomal RNA (467 nucleotides) under uncultured bacterium. Its description in RNAcentral is "partial 16S ribosomal RNA". It matches the Rfam family "Bacterial small subunit ribosomal RNA", at positions 29 to 507 of the family's 1533-position model. The record is from RNAcentral.